AAUCAACGCUGGCGGCGUGCCUAACACAUGCAAGUCGUACGCGAAAGGGGCUUCGGCCCUGAGUAGAGUGGCAGACGGGUGAGUAACGCGUGGAUGACCUGCCCUUGAGCGGGGGAUAACGUUUCGAAAGGAACGCUAAUACCGCAUGAUGUCCUGCCUUUGAAUAGGCGGUGACCAAAGCCGGGGACCGUAAGGCCUGGCACUUAAGGAGGGGUCCGCGUCCGAUUAGCUAGUUGGUGGGGUAAUGGCUCACCAAGGCUCCGAUCGGUAGCCGGCCUGAGAGGGCGGACGGCCACACUGGGACUGAGACACGGCCCAGACUCCUACGGGAGGCAGCAGUGGGGAAUUGUUCGCAAUGGGCGCAAGCCUGACGACGCAACGCCGCGUGGAGGACGAAGAUCUUCGGGUCGUAAACUCCUGUCGAAUGGGACGAAUGGCCCGGCCGUGAAUAACGGUCGGGAAUGACGGUACCGUGAGAGGAAGCCCCGGCUAACUCCGUGCCAGCAGCCGCGGU
RNAcentral lists this ribosomal RNA (514 nucleotides) under uncultured bacterium. Its description in RNAcentral is "bacterial SSU rRNA". It matches the Rfam family "Bacterial small subunit ribosomal RNA", at positions 28 to 521 of the family's 1533-position model. The record is from RNAcentral.